This 19-nucleotide small nuclear RNA is filed under the name Arabidopsis thaliana (thale cress). RNAcentral's name for it is "snRNA_04282". Lineage: Eukaryota; Viridiplantae; Streptophyta; Magnoliopsida; Brassicales; Brassicaceae. The record is from RNAcentral.
UCCGGAACCGGGACGUGGC